AUCACAUACUCGUUUAAAAUACCUAUUUCAACUAAGUCUUUGGAAAUCUUUAAUAUUUCUAUACUAGUGUUCAAUUUAAUUGGUUUGCAACGAUUUUCUAUUGUUUUACACUAUAAUUCAGCGAAGUCAGAUGCUUGUCAAAUUGCCAACAGACCGCCUCCCCAUUUUCCGCUCUCUUAUGUCUCUUCUCCUUUCGACAUAAUCGAACCCUUUCCACACCGACCAUCGUUUCUGUUUACCACUGAGACUGGAAAACUAUUUAAUGUUGCUGUCAGGAAAGCUAUAAUAAUGAAAGCAUGUUGCAGCAACACAGCAGCUAUUCGGAAAUGGUGAAGACGGAAAACAAAGUGUUUGACUGAGAAACCAGUUCAGUGACAAGGAUCCAAAGGAUUUCAGUAUGGCUGAACAAGGCCAAAUGGAGAAUGAAGAGGAAGGCAAACCAACUGACCUGCCAGCUGAGAUCAAGGAUUGGAAUAAACAUCACGUGAAACAAUGGGCUCUCAACGAGGCUUGUGUGGACAGUGAAUCUGCAAAUAUCUUGCUUCA
Coregonus clupeaformis (lake whitefish) is the source of this 546-nucleotide long non-coding RNA. RefSeq lists it as uncharacterized. The record is from RefSeq and is a predicted model, not a curated record. The transcript has 4 exons. Lineage: Eukaryota; Metazoa; Chordata; Actinopteri; Salmoniformes; Salmonidae.